This 1204-nucleotide long non-coding RNA is filed under the name Homo sapiens (human). RNAcentral's name for it is "HSALNT0141494". The record is from RNAcentral. Lineage: Eukaryota; Metazoa; Chordata; Mammalia; Primates; Hominidae.
GGAGAUGAAAGCAGAUAAAGAAGAAAUGAACAGGCUUUCUACUGAUAAGAAAAAACAAUUUGGACCACUUGUACGGUGGCUGAAAGUGAAUUUUAGUGAAGCAUUUAUUGCAUGGAUUCACGUGAAAGCAUUACGGGUUUUCGUUGAGUCUGUUUUAAGGUAUGGCUUGCCAGUGAACUUCCAAGCAAUGCUACUUCAGCCCAAUAAGAAAACUUUGAAGAAACUGAGAGAAGUAUUACAUGAAUUGUAUAAACAUCUAGACAGCAGUGCAGCAGCUAUUAUUGAUGUAAGCUCCUAUGGAUAUUCCAGGUUUAAACCUGAGUCAACAAGAAUACUACCCCUAUGUGUACUACAAGAUUGAUUGCAACUUGCUGGAAUUCAAGUGAAAAUGGGCUCCUCCCCCGACAAUCCUGUCCUUGUGUUUGUGUGUGCUAACAGAAAUAAGUUGCAGUAUGGUCGUACUUUUAACUCUAGUAUCCUUUGCUUGCUUCUUACGCCCUUUCCUAGGUGAAUUCUCCCACAGUGGUCUGUAUCUCAACAUUUUCUUUUUAAAGGAAAAAAUAUAUAUAUAUAGUUUCUUUUUAUUGAUCAGGUCUGUAAAUGUGUACUAAAAAAAUCAGAGUUUAUUUAUAAACAAAAUAGUUUAUUUAAAGAGAAGGUCUCUUCCUUAUUGAUAUCAUGGUAUGCAUUAAUUCCAUUUGUUACUAUUGUGCACAAAAGCCCUGUUCACAGGGGAAUGGUGUAAACAUUUAUACUGUUUUGUUCACUGUAUUUAGUAGACAUAACUGUUGAAUAGUUACUGAAUCAUGAUGUAAAGAAUAUGUGACCAUCUUCAGGUAUGGGAUUUCUGAACGUUUCAAAUUUCAAUCAAUGAGCACUGUCAACACCCACAGGAGAGAAUAAAAUUACCUGUGCAAAGGUGUAUUGUGGUGUGUGUAACUUAAGAUUACAGUUCUGUUUGAGAGUUAAAUGAUGUCAUAGCUCACUUGCUAUGCUGCUUCCAGGAUUUUGUUAUAUGCUGAGGUGUAACCAUUUGUGUUGUCUGACUUUCGUAUGAUUUAAUUGAGCCAAAUUUGGGUCAGAACACAAAUUUGAAGAUGACUUUUCAGUAUAUGAUGGGUAUUUACAUUUGAACACUAGAAUUUUAGGUCUCUCAAAUAAUUAAGAAUAGAGCCAGUUUUGAAUAAAGUCUAGCAGAACUAUG